Molecule: ribosomal RNA, 253 nt
Filed under: uncultured bacterium
Lineage: Bacteria
Description: partial 16S ribosomal RNA
Rfam family: Bacterial small subunit ribosomal RNA
Source: RNAcentral
UACGGGGGGGGCAGGCGUUGUUCGGAAUUACUGGGCGUAAAGGGCUCGUAGGCGGCCAACUAAGUCGGAUGUGAAAUCCCCAGGCUCAACCUGGGAACUGCAUCCGAUACUGGAUGGCUUGAAUUCGGGAGAGGGAUGCAGAAUUCCAGGUGUAGCGGUGAAAUGCGUAGAUAUCUGGAGGAAUACCGGUGGCGAAGGCGGCAUCCUGGACCGACAUUGACGCUGAUGAGCGAAAGCUAGGGGAGCAAACGGG